Molecule: transfer RNA, 69 nt
Filed under: Marmota marmota marmota (Alpine marmot)
Lineage: Eukaryota; Metazoa; Chordata; Mammalia; Rodentia; Sciuridae
Also listed under: 1 other name
Rfam family: tRNA
About the family: Transfer RNA (tRNA) molecules are approximately 80 nucleotides in length. Their secondary structure includes four short double-helical elements and three loops (D, anti-codon, and T loops).
Source: Rfam by way of RNAcentral
GGAGUUGUGGCUCAUUGGUAGAGUGCUUGCCUAGCACGUGUGAGGCACUGAGUUUGAUUCUCAGCACCA